This 200-nucleotide ribosomal RNA is filed under the name uncultured eukaryote. RNAcentral describes it as "partial 18S ribosomal RNA". It matches the Rfam family "Eukaryotic small subunit ribosomal RNA", at positions 588 to 789 of the family's 1831-position model. The record is from RNAcentral.
GCUCCAAUAGCGUAUACUAAAGUUGUUGCAGUUAAAAAGCUCGUAGUUGGAUUUCUGGUAGCGACAUUCGGUCUGCCUCACGGGGUGUGUACCUGUGUGUUGCGUCCAUCCUCGGGGAGAACGUAUCUGGCAUUCAGUUGUCGGGUAUGGUAUCCCCGUCAUUUACUGUGAGCAAAAUAGAGUGUUCAAAGCAGGCUUAG